GAGUUAAGGCUUAUGAUGUAAAUCAUAAAAGGGAGAAAGCAUCCUUGAAUAUAGGUAGCUGGGAAGAUGAUGAGUGGCCUCCCCAACGCAUUAUUAAUUAUUAUGGACCUGCUACUUGGGCAGAAGAUGAUACCUAUGGAUAUAGAACCCCAAUAUAUAUGCUCAACCGUAUUAUAAGACUACAGGCGGUGGUUGAGAUUAUCAC
Molecule: non-coding RNA, 205 nt
Organism: Pelobates cultripes (western spadefoot toad)
Lineage: Eukaryota; Metazoa; Chordata; Amphibia; Anura; Pelobatidae
Source: the annotation of a GenBank genome assembly